UACGUAGGGUGCAAGCGUUAAUCGGAAUUACUGGGCGUAAAGCGUGCGCAGGCGGUUUUGUAAGUCUGAUGUGAAAUCCCCGGGCUCAACCUGGGAAUUGCAUUGGAGACUGCAAGGCUAGAAUCUGGCAGAGGGGGGGUAGAAUUCCACGUGUAGCAGUGAAAUGCGUAGAGAUGUGGAGGAACACCGAUGGCGAAGGCAGCCCCCUGGGUCAAGAUUGACGCUCAUGCACGAAAGCGUGGGGAGCAAACGAGG
Molecule: ribosomal RNA, 255 nt
Filed under: uncultured bacterium
Lineage: Bacteria
Description: partial 16S ribosomal RNA
Rfam family: Bacterial small subunit ribosomal RNA
Source: RNAcentral